GUGCUCACUUCAGCAGCACAUAUAUUAAAACUGGAGCCAGACAGAGAUUAGCAUGGUCCCUGUUAAAAGAUGACACACAUUCAUAGAGCAUUCCAUAUUUUU
Molecule: small nuclear RNA, 102 nt
Organism: Pteropus vampyrus (large flying fox)
Lineage: Eukaryota; Metazoa; Chordata; Mammalia; Chiroptera; Pteropodidae
Source: Ensembl